RNAcentral lists this long non-coding RNA (2417 nucleotides) under Homo sapiens (human). RNAcentral describes it as "HSALNT0079831". Lineage: Eukaryota; Metazoa; Chordata; Mammalia; Primates; Hominidae. The record is from RNAcentral.
CAGCACCAGAGGGUUGAUUUGAAAAUGGGUGAAGAAAGAAUUGGAAUGGUGGGAAAAUAUCUAGAUGCCUGUCAGUCUGCAAGAAGAUCAUCUUAGUGUCUCCAGAAACCACCGUCCUUAAGAUAUUUCUACUUGAGCAACAGGAAACAAUGCUUUCACUUCCAGUGGGAUCAUGGGCCGUAGUAAGGAUGUUGCUGAAGUUGUUUGUGGCAUUAUUUUCUGGUCAGUGAGAGCAGCUCUUCGCAGAAUGAAAAUAUCCUGAAGAAGCAAAGCUAGAAAAUUGAAAAACAAAGACUAGGUGAUAUCGCUUAUUUAUCCAUGCCUAAAUAUAGCACUUCAUUCAAUAUUUAGUUCCACAAGGCAAUAUAUUUCCUUCUCCUUUAUUCUUAUUUUUUCCUUUUGUUUCUGUUAUUUUAAAACAAAAUCAAUCAUGCUAACAAGAUCUUCCUUUCAUAGUCACCCAGCAAAGGGUUUAUACACAUUAAUUUUGCUAUAUAUAGCAAAAUUUUAUAUAUUAUAAAAUUUAUACAUGUUAAUUUUGUUAUUUAUAAUAUUAUUAAUGUGUAUAAACAUAAGUUAACAUUACAGAUAUCUACAUGUAUAUAUACACAUACGCUAGUAUAUGUACAUACAGUACACACACACAUAUCAAGCAGUCCUCCCACUUUGACCUCACAAAGUGCUGGGGUUACAGGCAUGAGCUGCCAUACCAGGGCUAUAUCAUUUUGGAUCUAUCUUUUCAUUUGUCAUUAUAUCUUUUUAGGUCUAUUCAUAUAAAUCUAAUUAUUUUCAAAAGUAAAAUGAAGACCAUAAUGUAUUCAGUAGUUUCCUUCUUUACAAACUUUUAAGUUUCUUCAGGUUUUUUAUAGAUUGCAAACCAUGCUGAAAAACACCAAACAUGGCACUGGUUUUAACAAGGUAGGUAAGUACUGGAGUUUACUUAGAAGAGAAGUUGGCAAUAAAGUAGAAGUAGAAGUUGAUAUCAGACUAUCACAACUAGCUUCACCAGCUUGGGUAAUUUACUAAGAUUCCUUGAGCCUUGCUACAGUAACUUAAAAUUAGAUAUUUAAACUAUCAAAUACAGUAAAUAAGUUUCCAAUCCUUUGCACUAUUGGCUUAUUGAAAUGCUGUAUUAAGAGAGAUUCUAAAGUCAUAUUUUACCACAGCAGAAAAUGUAUUAUAAAAUAAGAAAGAAGUGGCAAAUGUGGCAUAUAUGUGUCACCUAGUUCCAACUUAAUAUUUUAUUACUAUAACUUAAAAGAUGGUAUGAGAACUGAAAUGUUAUAUGAGAGUCGUUUAAAGAAACUAUUGCAGUUCGGCUUAGGAAAAGAGAAAACUAGAAGAAUAUAUUCUCUCAAAUAUUUGACUUGAGUUCCUUAACAGAACAGAACUAGAAUUACUUGUUGGAAAUUACGGUGAGAUUUUGACUUCAAAAAGAAAAAAAAUUCUAGUAAUAAGAAUGUCUACUAAUCAAACAAGAUGCUUUUUUUGUUGGAUUUAUUGGCAAGAAGCUAGAUCACUACAGAGGCUGCUUCAGAAAUUACUUAUAUGAGAACAAUAAAAUGAAGAAUAUUUACUACAUGUCAGACACUAUGUUAAUAAUUUUCACAUACAUAACAUGAUAGUAGGUGAUUAGAAUCAAUUUUCACACAUAAUAGACACUCUGUAUCCAUCACGGUGGAGUAGAAGGAAAAAGUUAUUGAUCAGUCUGAGAAGACAAUAGUUUUGAAUGCAUUUUCAAACUAAUUUAUCCCCAUAAAUAAGCCAACUUUAAUUAAUUCACGUACACUUUCAGUUAAUGUUCUGUCAGAAUUUCUCUUACAAAGUUUCAUCUCAAACCCUGUCUGACAUAUCAAGGAAGAGAAAAGCAAAGCUAUGAGGUAAAACGGAGUCAACCAGCUGCCAACUUUAAUACAUUUCUUUUAUUCUCAAUUGUCUUAGCUCACUUAGUGAAAAACUGCAGCAAAAGAAAAAUAGUCCACUAGGGAAAAAUAAUGUUGCAAAGCAGUAAAGUCUUUAAAUUUCAAAGGAAAAAAAGUUAUGUAUAUUAAAUAGAAAUACUGGUAUGUUUUUAUCACAAAUAUGAGCUAAUUUCUUUUUAAGCCUAUAUUCUUUCUUUUUUGUUUUAUUCUUAAUUGACACAUAAAAACUGUACAUAUUUAUGGGAUUUAGUAUAAUGUUUCAAUACAUGUAUAUAAUAUAUGAUAUUAGGACAAUUAGCAUAUCAGUCACCUCAAACAUUAAUAAUUUUUUAUGGUGAGAACAUUUAAAAUCCUCCCUUCAAGCUAUUUUGAAGUAUACAAUAGAUUACUGUUAACUAAAGUCACCCUACUGUGAAAUGGAACAUUAGAACUUAUUCCUCCUAUCUAACUGUAACUCCUUACCCAUUUCCCAACGUCUCCACUCUCCCCCUACCC